This 57-nucleotide transfer RNA is filed under the name Ictidomys tridecemlineatus (thirteen-lined ground squirrel). RNAcentral describes it as "Spermophilus tridecemlineatus (thirteen-lined ground squirrel) tRNA". It matches the Rfam family "tRNA", at positions 8 to 63 of the family's 71-position model. From Rfam's summary of the family: Transfer RNA (tRNA) molecules are approximately 80 nucleotides in length. Their secondary structure includes four short double-helical elements and three loops (D, anti-codon, and T loops). The record is from Rfam by way of RNAcentral. Lineage: Eukaryota; Metazoa; Chordata; Mammalia; Rodentia; Sciuridae.
UGGCUCAGUGGUAGAGCACUUGCCUACCAUGCAUGAGGAACUGGGUUUGAUUCUCAG